GGCGUGCAUCACGGUGAGUCGCAACAGUACCACGGGAGGAGAAAACGUCGAAGAAAAGGACCGGACGCGCCGUGGCGACUGGGAAGCACGCGCCGGCAUUACGGUAGCUGUUUAGAGCGAGGUUUAGCUGUGGUAGCAGCUGCGGCUGUGGCAGCUGCGGCUGUGGCAGCUGCGGCUGUGGCAGCAGCGUCGGCGGAGGAGGAGAGGAUGACUCCACGGUGCUGCUCUGGCUGGGGCUGCGGGCGAGGGUGCCAAGGAUUUCGUUUGGCGUUGGGAAGUUUGUCUUGGCCUUGGCGCCGCGGAACUCACGCGCUGCUGCGUCGUAGGCACGUGCUGCUUCCUCGGCGGUGUCGAAGGUGCCGAGCCAGACGCGGGUUUUCUUCCCCGGGUCCCGGAUCUCGGCGGCGUAACGCCCCCACGGCCGCUUCCUCACUCCUCUGUAUCGGAUCUCCAUAUCCUUCGAAUUCGGAUUCGGGUUAGAGGAUGAUUUGUUGAGCUUAUCUCUCGGAGCCAUUUUGAACAGAGGAGCAAGUUGAUUGUUAGCUCUUGAAGGAAACGAACAAGAGCAGUGGCGGCUUUUAUAGAAUAAUAUGCGGGGAAGAGAGAGAGAAUGUGUGUGUGUGUGUGUGUGUGUGUGUGUGUGUGUUUGUGUGUGUUAAAGCGACACCGCUUUUGUGGGCGCUUGUUGUUGGGUACAGUAAAAGCAAGAGAUGUGGUGUGGCUUCCCUUACACGAACUAAUAUUCAGUUCAAUUAUGUUGACUAAUGAGACUGCGCCACGUUGUGACCUUAGGGAUUCUUGUUAUCGUUGCAUGGUCGAAAUAUUUAAGAAAUUUUCUAUCUUAUCUUAUGGCAUUCAAUAAUCCUUAUGCACCUUAUAUUUAGUAGACAUUUAUUUAUUUGACACCAGGAUUAAAUGCCGAUAUUUUUAAACGAAUUUUUUACGUAAUUAAUUUUUGAUGCACAUGCACUAACUAUAUGGCCCUGGAUGUUUAUAUUUACAUUGUUGAAAAAAGAAAAAAAAAUUAAUGAGAGCCUGUAUUUAAUGAAAGCCUACUGAAAACGCUAAGGGCACGAGCACGCCACUCACGUGCUACGGCGCUUCGCUUUUUCACUCGGCGCGGUCAACGAUGACUUUGACUCUGCUGUUCCAAAAACAAAUUAUGGGCUCCAGACGCCCUGCCGCAGCCAAACGUAGUGGGUCCACACUAGACAUGAUAAAUGUUGAGGCCCCUUCCUAGUAGACGCGUGGCACGCGGUUUCCCUAAGGAAACGUGGCAGCAGAUAAGUCCAAGGGCGGCUAUGAUAACGGCGGUUAUGACGGCAAGUCUGUGUGCCGCUUUCUGUUUCUCUUUUUUCACACGAACGGUAAUAACGGCGGUUCAUCUAUUUUUAGAUAUUUUCUUUUUCUAUUUUUGAUUGAUGAUUUGUCGGCUUUCUCCGUCCUCUGGCCGCGUAAAUCGGAUCGUAUCCAUCCACCCGAUCCCGCGGAGAUGUUGACUCACCGGAAUCGGACGGCUAUUAUGGUGAUUCCCGUUGUGAUUUGACACGUGUAGAUAAGAAGUCGUCGUACAGACAUGGGAAUGAAAAUAGUCAGUGCUGCUUCAUAUGAAAUUCUGCCACGUGAAUUUUUUAAAUACUAGUGGACAACUUAAUUUUUUUAAAAUUUUAAAUUAACAUAUUUUUUCAAGGUGUGACUUAAAACUCUAGGAUGCAAUAUCUGCACCAUACAUCCAUCCAUAUAUUUUUUUUUUUGGAUUUUCUUAAGUAAUAUUUAUUAUAAUUUAUACUUAAAUUUUGUAGUAUAAAAAUAAAUAAAGAGCAGAGACACUAGAUGAAUCAAUGAUGAAUUUUAUUUAACUGUAAGCUACAUUUAUGUGACGCCCCAAACUAAGUGUAGUUUAGUAAACCAAUAGAAACAACACCCCCACUCGUUGAAAACUGAAACAAUUGUCCAAAUUUAGUAAAGAAUAAUUCAAUGUUGCAAAUGGCAGAGAGCUCAAAAAUAUUAAUGAGUUAACUUGUAUUUGUUUGGGUUUGGAAGCAUGAACUUGAAGAUAAGUUUCUUAUUUAUUUAAUUUUUACCCAAUUAAACAUAAUCUUUAGUUUUAAUUUUAAACAACCAUGGGAUGCUUUGUAAAAAGAAUAAAAAAAUAUAAAUAUAAAUAAAAACACACGCACACUACCAUUGGAUUAAGGGUGCGUUUGGGAUUGAUGUACUGUAGUUUUUAAGGUAUAGCUGCUGUGGAAAAAAAAAGUAUAAUUAUGAAAUAAAAGUUAAUAACAUAUAGUAAAUGUAAAUUUUAAAUAAUAAUAUUGAUAAAAUUAUUAAAGAUAUAAUAGAUUUUUCAUUAUACAAGUGAAAAAUCAUAUCAACAUACCUUCUAAAAUACAGCAGUUAAUGUUUACCAAACACUUUAGUACUAUGACUUUUAAGCUACAGUUGCCCAACUUCAAUUUCAAACGCACCCUAAGUGACCCUAAGUCACCUUAUAUUAGAAUUUUCAUACCUUAAAUUUAUGAUUUUUUUUUACAAUUUUGUAAGAAAAGUACUUAUAUUAACUAUCGUUAGGCAGUUACUAAAGAAUUUAAUUCUUUUUGCCAAAGAUUAGGGGCAAAUGUAAUUACCUACAACAUUGCUUUAUCUCAUUCCAUCUCUCCACAAAUUAAAUGGGACCAUGAUAUUUGGAUUGCUGAUUACAAUAAUAUUGCUUUUUUCUCGCCAAAGUAAAUUCAUAAUAUUAGUUGCAACCCAACACUAGGUAGGGAAUAUAUAUAUGAAUAAAAAUUUCAAUUCCUAAUUGAGAUUCGGGAUUUCGUAUUGAUGGAGAUGGGAUUGAUCCACAUUAUUUUGACCAAUUUAAAAGCAGUGGGAUUCGGGAUUGAAAUUGAACCCAAUUGUAAUUUUGGGACAGGAUUAAGAUUUAUCUCAAGAUUUCAUAGGAUCCCAAUCUGCUCAAUUAUUUAGCUAACAAUGUGUUCAAUUUUAUUUUUUCUUUAACAUUAUUAAUUAUAUAUUGCGUAAUUUGCAAUGUUCUUUAUUUUUUCAAUUAUAUUGGAGAUAAUGUUAAUUGAGUUGUUAAUGGAAACACAUAUAUUUUAUAUAUAUUAAAAUUUUAAAUUAAAUCUAAUCAAAGCAUGUAAACAAAAUUAAAAUAUUAAUUGAGGUGGGCCAUUCGGGAUAUUUGUGAUAAUUGAGAAGGGACGGGAUUUUGAAUCGUCUGUAAUUAGUUUUAAUUUUGAUCCCACAAUUACAAAUUCUUGGCCAUCCCAGCUCAUUGUCAUCUCCAUAUUUAGGGGACCUAUUUAAUUAAAGGGAUAAAUCUGUAUUUUGUUGAAAAAAUAUAAGAAGUUAGGGAUCCAGAUGUAAUUACACAUUCUCAAAAUAGAAUCAAUCCAAACGUGGCUCAGGUAAAGCCGACAAACAAAAUGAGUUCCCGAUUUCGACAGUUGAAAAGAAUUUACCGGGAACACUUCCAACAGAAAUUCAAAUUCCAUUCUCAAUUAACAACCCAAUUCUCAAAACUUCAAUCUUGCAACUCGGUUACUUCACAUAAAACCCUAAUCCCCAUUAUCAAUUUGCAAGCCAGAAACUCUGAGUUUCUUUUUCUGGGCAGAAUCGAAACAGCUCAGUUGGUUCAUUCACUCGCUAAUUCUGAUGAAAAGUCCGAGUUUCAACGUUACCCAGGUGAUGAAAUAGCAAUAAAGGUUCAAAAUAUUCUCAAGACCUGUAGCGUCAGCACAAAAGGAGAAAUUGAGAAAGCUCUGAACCAAUGUGAGCUUACACUAACUGAUGAUUUGAUUGUAAAUGUUAUUAACCGUUAUCGUUUUGAUUGGGAAGCAGCUUAUACAUUCUUCAAAUGGGUGUCUAGAGAAGGUGAUUAUUCACCCGGGUCUAAUGUUUUCAAUGCGAUCCUUGAUGUUCUUGGGAGAGCGAGGCGUUUUGUGGAGUUGAUACAAGUGUUUGAUGAAAUGCCUGAACUAGUGAAUGAGAAAACUUAUGGAAUCUUGCUUAAUAGAUAUGCAGCUGCACAUAUGGUAGAGGAAGCAAUUGGUGUUUUUGAUAGGAGGAAAGAGUUUGGGGAAUUGGAUGAUUUGUCUGCUUUUCAGAAUCUAUUGUUGUGGUUAUGUAGGUACAAGCAUGUUGAAGUGGCUGAAACUUUUUUCGAGUCUAAGAAGAAUGAGUUUGGUUAUGAUAUAAAGACAAUGAAUAUUAUUCUCAAUGGAUGGUGUGUGUUGGGGAAUGUUUAUGAGGCAAAAAGGUUUUGGAAAGAUAUAAUUAAAUCUAAAUGUGAGCCAGAUUCUGUUACUUACGCAACUUUCGUAAAUGCACUAACCAAGAAGGGGAAAUUGGGGACAGCAUUGAGGUUGUUUCAAGCUAUGUGGGAGAAAGGUCGUAAACCUGAUGUGGUUACUUGCAACUGUAUCAUUGACGCACUUUGUUUCAAGAAAAGGAUUCCUAAAGCUUUGGAGGUUCUUAGGGAAAUGAAGAAUAGAGGUUGUCUCCCAAAUGUCACAACUUACAACUCGCUGAUCAAGCAUCUAUGCAAGAUUAAGAGGAUGGAAACGGUUUACGAGUAUUUGGAUGAAAUGGAGCUGAAGAAUGGAAGCUGUUUGCCUAACGAAAUAACUUUCAAUUACCUGCUCAAGUCUUUGAAGAAACCCGAGGAAGUUCCUUGGGUAUUGGAGAGAAUGGAGAGAAAUGGAUGCAAGAUGAGCACUGACACAUACAAUGUGAUUUUAAAGUUGUAUGUAAACUGGGAUUGUGAAGACAAAGUAAGACAUACAUGGGAAGAGAUGGAGAAAAAGGGGAUGGGACCUGACCAGCGAUCUUAUACCGUUAUGAUUCAUGGGCUGUAUGACAAGGGAAGGUUAGAGGAUGCUUUAUCUUAUUUCCAUGAGAUGAGAUUGAAGGGAAUGGUACCUGAGCCAAGGACUGGGAUUUUGGUGAAUGAUAUGAACAUCAAGUUGAAAGAGAGAGGGGAGCAGGGCAAAAAGGUGAUAAAACUCACAAGUCUAGGACUAAAAGGGAAUGCAUGAAAAAAAAAGGGAGAUGAAAUCUUGAAAUUGGGGAAUUCCUAAGAAGCACAAAAAUUCCGAAAAGAAAAAAAAAUGUUUUUCCAGUUUAGGAGUUAGUAUUAUACUCUUAUUUGAGAAAUUUUUCUAGUUGAGUUAUAACAGUCCCUGCUAGUAGUUAUAAUUAUAUUAUGGAAUAAACGCUUUGUCUGAGUUUCUUAGUUUACAUCCAUCAAAAGCUGUCAUAAGCUAUUGUACCUAUUCAGCUUAUACUCGGUAAAGCUUAACGUGGUUGCGAUUGUAGCUUCAAAUUUAUCUGCAGCAAACAGCUUAGCCAUAUUAAACAAGCAAAUGCCAAUGAGCAGAUGUAAUAAGUUCUAAUCGACAACUACAGUUUCAUUUUCUUAAUUCAUUCAACUCAAGAUUGGUUAUAAACAGCAGCAGCGUAUCAUUCAAUGGUCAUAUUUCUCACCUCUUUUCGCCCCUGUAAACUCAACAUGACAUCUGAUACUAGGGUCAUAUUUCUUGAUCUCAAGUUUUACCUUACUCUUUGUAUUCCUCAUCUUGGCAUAGAAAAUUCCGGGCCCAGCAGAUGAAACAAGCUUGAUAACUUUUUCAUUCUUCUUCUUCCUUGUCUCUCCCCACCCUUUCAUUUUCCCUGCUCCUCUUCUGAUGGGAGUCACCACCCCUUUUUAUACUCUUCUUCUGUGAUUAAAAAACAUUUUAUAUAUCAAAAGAUUCUAACACUCAAAAAUGAUGAUGAAUGCAAUGCUUUUAGUUUAGAAUUCUGUGCAAAUAGAAACAGCAAACUUUGAUGCAAGCAGCGGCACACCUAGCUACACUGAAUCAACUAUAUAAAGUAAAAACUGGGAAACACUACAAUUCACCAGUUCAGUAAAACCAUUACUAAAGUAAAUAAGAAAAAGAGUAAAAAACACGGAAGGGUUUUUCUAUAACCAAAUGCACUGUUAAAACUCACUUUUGCCUUCACACAACCUCAUCAUUUUAGUGUUACAAUUUGGUCAGCAAAUUCACACUUUCAACAAAAUAGUAAAAUUGCUCAUUGGACGUUAACGAGAGAUACGUGCCCCUAUAGGCCAAUCAUUUAUCAACAACACAUCAGAUGAAAUUAUACUUUACAAGAAUCCUGAUCUUUUCUUCUUCACAACUGGGUGUCUAUGUCCAUGGCCAAGCUUAUAACUUUAUCAAAUAAUUCUUGAUUUCAUCUUUAUCCACUAAUCAUUAGUACGGAUUUUUUUUGACAUGCAGAUCAAAUUGUUGAAACGGGCAUGUCCAAUGACACAUAAUAAAAAAUGAACAAUUUUCUAUUUGUGAGACUUUGAAGAAAAGACAUCAACUUGCAAAAGUGGGUACCUUUCUCAAGCUGGAGUUGGAAGCAUAUCUUCUUGCCAAGCAAUCAACGAUUGUCGAGUCGGCUUUUCAAAAAAAUAGAUCACCAAACCCCUACAAAUGAACAUUUCCCAGAAUUUUAACCCAGAUAACAAGCUUUACAUACACAUAUUGGUUAGAAAACAAAUGGGUUGACUCAUUUUUAAGAAUCGACAACAGUUCACACAAAAAGAUUCAAACAUUUCUAGUCCAGUCUCUUGUUUUUGGUAGCGUUAAUAUUCCCAGCAAUUAAUCAGAGUGAACAAAGAAAAGGUUACUUAUUUUCUAAGAAAUAACGACCUUUUACAAAAAGAGACCUAACUUUUAUUGGUUUAGCCUCUUGUAUUUGGUAGUUUUCACUCUCCCAGCAACAAAUCAGAGUGAAAAGGGAAGGUCAUGAGUAACUGCAACAGAAAGAGAAAGGCAUAACCUUUGAAGAAGGGAGCUGGCUAAGUUACAGAAUCUGUAACUUACAGAUCCAGCUUAACCAGCUCUUAAUUGGAUGCAUUUGGAUGGUUUUUCCUCUCUCCUCAGGACACGUGUGCUCUUCUCCUUGGGUGUGUAUGUUACAGAUUCUGUAACACAGCAACCUCCUUGAAGAAGACAUUGUGAUCGAGACUUGUGGAGAAACUGAAGGACGUGAAAGUGGUCAAAGUUGACUGAGUUGAAGAAGAAAGGUGGGUUUUGGAAAAUGUGUUUCUUGGCUUGCAAGAAACAGCAAAGCAACGAAGAACAAAUGCCAUCUUUGUCUCUUUGUCUCCUCCUCUCUGUAUAAUUGAAAGUUUGAAGUUGACGUUUCCUGUCCUACUAUCUGUAGCUUAUCAUGAGACUUUUUGGAUCCACACUAUAAUGCAUCCGACAAGAAGCAGGUGUGUCAUUCUAUUUACAAGGAAAUGAAAGUGUCACACAAUAAAUACAAUGUCAACUAUAGUGAAUUGCGUAAUUAAAUUCAACAUAUUAAAUGAAAACAAAUUGCAUAAAUAAUUUAUCAUAUAAAAUGAAUACAUUAUCAACUAAAAUAAUCACAAUGUCAUUCAAGGAACACACUAAACAAGUACAUUGUCCAGCAAUAUUACAAGUAAUUAUACAAACUACAAUGACUGAAAAACGAAAAGUCUUCAUGUAGAUUCAGCUAUCAUUCCUUAUGUUCCACAUCUCUUGAGCUAAAUUAUCUCGCCAAAUAGUCCACUCAUUUAAAAGCUCAAUUGACUCAAUAAAUUGUAUUUCAUCAACAUUGUCUCGAAUUCCAUCGUUAUCUAUUUCUUCUUCCAUGACAUUGACGAGCAUUUCCUUUCUUAUGAAAUUAUUGUUGGGAAAAUAUGCUCUUUAAAAGCAUAUGUGUUUAUUUAAUUGUAAUAAACAAUUUUUCUGAUUAAUAAAAUAAAUGAGGUAUUUUAUUCAAAUAUCUUAAUUGCAUUAAUAUUUGUAUUAAAGUCCAUUUAAUCAUAUUCUAUGUAUUUAUGUGAUCACCAUGUGGAUUCACAGAAGACAUAAAUACACGUUAUCUUAUGAUUAAAUAAAUUUAGUUCGCAGUUGAUAAAUAAAGUUGGGCACUUUAUUUAGGUAUAGACUGUAAUAAAUUCAUUGAAUGAUUUGUCUUAAUCAUGUAUGAAUUUGUUGAUAUAGUACGACUACAUUGAACAUGAUCACAUAUGAGAUUUAAUUAACUUUGUAAUAACUGUCAGACUUAUUAAAUCUCAUAGGCAUUGAUUUUACUGUAAUCUUAAUCUUGAGUUAAUUAUGAUUUCAUGAUUGUAAUUGUUAUUCCAUUUGAGUUACCAAUGGGCACGACACAUCCUUGUGGUCAAGAUUACUCGGUAUCUUGGUGGGAGCAAUUAUGAGUAUUGGAGUUAUGGAUUAACAAUAUAGAAUUUGUACAACACAUCUCUUGAUGGGUUUUCGGCACUUGAUCAUAGAAUUCUCUGGCCAGAGUGUGUCAACAUAUUUAGUAUGUUGAAAAUGAUCAUUAGAGAAAACCAGUAAGGAUCAAGGAAUAAGAUGUUAUUAAAUUGAUUGGACAGUUGAGAUAUCAAUUUAAUUAACGAUGUGGUACAAAUGAUUGUGCAAUAAAGAAAUCAAUGUGGCUUGGGACGAAUUAUUAUUCGAGCAUACAAUUAUGGAAGUCAGUUCCAAUCUUUUAGUGGAGUAGAUUUGGAAUUAAAUAAUUAGGCUAGUUUAAUUACAGGCCUAAUUGUUAUAGCCACUAUUGUAUGUUCCCAAAUGGUCCCCGGGUUAGCUCAUUUAAUUGACUGCACCACUACUGGACUAAUAAGCAAGAUAACUAGCUAUUUGGGUCAAAAGCCUAAAUAUAUCAUUUAGUGGGAGGCUCCACUUAAUAAGCUUAUGUGUAAGGGGCCUUAUGUUAUUUUACAUGGUGGGUCCCCUAUUAAAUGAAAAGUAACGUGAGUUUUAUUUUGGGGCAUUCUUGGAGCCUAGGGUUUUCACUAAAGGGAGAUAUAUAAGGCUUAUUUUCUCUAAAGGAAAAGAGAGAAGCCACUUUAUACAGAUAAGAGAAUAAGAUUUUUCUCUCUAUUGUUGAGAGAAAAAUUUUCUCGUGCUAGUUGCUUUGGUAGUGAUAACGGCGCCCACACGUCAAGUGCAGAUCGAACAUGAGUCAUAACCUGGAAGAUCAUUGGUGACAGUUCGUGAUCUAACAAGCGUGGUGGUGACGGAUCGUGAUCUAACAGGAGUGGUGGUGGCGGAUCGUGAUCUAGGAGCCUAAAUCCCUUCAGCGGAAAAAGCCAACUCGGAUUUUCAAGGUACGAUUUCUAGAAUACGAAUUCUUAUAUAUUAUAUGAGAGCGAUCUUCAAAAGGUUUUAUAAAAAUUUAAAAACCUGAUUUUUCCCCAACAAUUAUGCAACAUACAACAAACAAAAAUUAUACGCCGUUGUGUUACGAUAUCAUAAAAGGCAGGACUUCUCAAUAUAGCCCAUCUCUUCUCCAAUAUCCCAAAACAUUGUUUAAUCACAUUGCAAGCACUUGAGUGUUUCAUAUUAAAGAACUCUUUUGGCAUAUGAGGUUGCUGUCCAUCACGAAAUUCGCUCAAAUAGGAACGUUCUCCUCUAUAUGGUGAAAGAAAAUCCAUCCCAUUAGUGUAGCCAGCAUCAACCAAAUAAUAAUAACCUAUUAAGAGAAUAAGAAAUCAUCAUAUAAAAAAAUUAUUCGCUAAAUAAUAUAUCCUUACAAGCUAAAGAAAAAUUGGUUAGAUGUAUUACCAUGAGGAACUUUUAACCCAUUUCUUCUAGUUAAGGCAUCUCUUAGCACGUGCAUAUCAUAAGCUGAACCUUCCCAUCCCAAUAAGACAUAUGUAAAUUGCAUAUCUUGGGAACAAAUCCCAAGACAUUUAUUGUAUUCUCAUUUUUCCUAGUUCUAUAUCUUAGCUUAUUGGGCCUCCGAAACGUGAAAUUCUACAAUAAACCAUUAAAAAAAUAAUGAGUUAAUCAACGAAAGUGUAUUAGAGAAGACAUUGAUUUGAAGAAAUAUUAUACUUACUGUAAACCACUUCCAUUUUGGUUCCGUUAAAUCCUCCAUAAUUAGCUCAGGUUUUUUCCUAAACUCCUUUUGACAUCUAAUCAUUGUCUUCAAAUACUCUUGGAAACAUUUGCUAACUGUUCUUCUGAAUCUUUUGAUGUUAAAACCAACAACCCAAUUUUUCAUGUGAUAUACUAAAAUCGACAAAAACAUUGCAACCCCUAGAGGCACAUUUAUACUUCUAACCAAACUCCCUUUUCACAAAGAAGCUUACAUAAUUUGAAAAAUGUUUGUCUAUCCUUUCUUAAUUGCGACAAACAUUUCACAUCACUUUCAAAUACCAAGACAUGCAAAUGGGAUGGUUGAACUCUAUAUACCGAAUUUGGACAUUCCAACCUCCGUUCAUAAGGUAAGCGAAAAUAGGAAGACAUAACAGUGCACACAUCGAUAAUCAUUUGCAACAUGACAACUACUUCUUGUAUAACUACCAACACUCUCUUCUUUUUUGCUAAUAAACAAGUCUUCCUAUAGCUGAAUAGGGAAAAAUAGGGAAAAGAAAAGAAAAUUAGAUAAAUAACAUUAUAGGCAGUGGCCUUAAUAAUCAGAUAAAAGAUGCAGUUGUCUAGUAUGAAGAUAACAAGACAUUUUGAUGUUUGAGACCAAUGGUACAUAAAUUAAAUGUAAAUAUAAGAUUAUGAUAAACUAAGAAGAUAAGUUUAGGACCCCCAAAAAAGAAUAAAACUAAGAAAAAGUUGCAAAUAAAAGUCAGCAAACAUUGGACAACAAUCCCAAAAAAAAAAAAAAAUUAUCUAGUUGUUGACAUAUUAUUGUUUUACUAUAAUAGAACAGCGAGCAAUUUGUUGUUUAUUGGUCAUAAGAUUCAAAUUUAUACAAGAGUUAACCUUAUCAUUUGGAUCCACACUUUGGUUUAUUAAUUUUAAAUUUUUGUAGAUUGCUUAUGCAGCAAGGACAUCAGUGAGUGAUCAGUAGUAGUAUCUUUUAGAAAAGAAAAAAAAAAUUAGUACUAAAAAACUGACUAAUUUGGAAAAAAUUUCCAAUUUAGUUUCGUAUUAUAUUCCAUGAAUAAAGGCCGUGAAUAUAGAUAAUAUUAAUACUCAAUGACCAACUUAAUUUUCAUUUAGACAUUGAAAACCUUCGACAAGCAUUUCAAAACAUCAAACCCAUUAGACGAGAAAAUAAGGAUUUACAAAACUAAAUCUACUGAGCCCCAUAACAGAUCAUACAAGCAAAGAAGUAUUUUUUUUUUUUUUAAUGGAACCUCAACUAAGUGAGCUAGGAAAAUAUAUUAACUAAAAGAAAGUGAAAAUAGUACAAGAGAGAAGAAAGAGCAAAUGCUAGCCGAGCCCCAUAACAGGUUGAUAUGAGCUUAAUUUAUUUAUGCAUGUUGUUUACGUAAGAAUUGGCUAGGCGUUCCAUUAGUGUUGAGUUUUAUUAGUUGAGUCAGUGAGUCAUGUUAGUGAGUUGUAAUGGAAGUUAAUUUGUAUUUUAAUUACUAUUUUCUAGCAGUUUCAUUCAGUUAUUGUAAGUUACAUUAUCAUGUAACUUGUGUUGUAUUUAAACUGGAAAAGUGAAUGAAUAGAGGAGGUUAUUCACUUGCUUAAUGCUUCUUUUCUGGAGAGAACGGUUCUCUCGAACAACCGUAUUUUUCCUUCCUUCUUUAUUGCUUAUAAUAUAAUUUAGAACAUAACAUUUGGUAUCAGAGCAGUCAUUCCAUGGCUGAAGCUACAAGACAAAAGAAAUAUGCAUAUUUUAAAGCUUUUAUUACUGAGAAGAUUGAGAACCAAGAUGCAAUCAUGCAGGAGGACCUUAGCAAACUUCAAAGUUUGACAUCUAUGUGUGAUAAAUUGAGUGUUCAAUAUGCUCAAGUCAGCACAAACGUUGGCAACCAUUUAAUGCCAAGAGAUCACUCACAAACUGUUGAACCAUCUAGCUUUUCUAUUAAAUUUGUUGACAAUAACCUUGUGCGACGGCUGAAGUUGCACUUUCCAAAUUGUAGUGGUGUGGACCCAUAUGGAUGGAUUUAUUGGGCUGAACAAUAUUUUGAGUAUCAGAAUAUUGCAGAGGAGCAGCAAGUGCAACUUGCAUCUUUCCAUCUUGAAGGAGCAACGCUUCAAUGGUAUCAAUGGAUGACAAAAACUAAGGGUCCAGUCACCUGGACUGAGUUUUCAAGCGCUCUUCUCAAAAGAUUCGGACCAACAUAAUUUGAUGAUGCAGCGGAGGCUUUAUCCCAGUUAAGACAACGAACAAGUGUUAUUGCUUACCAAGAAGAGUUUGAGAAACUUUCCCACUUGGUGGAUGAUUUGCCUGAGCCCUUUAUAGUAGGGUCAUUUGUUGGGGGACUAAAAGAUGAGAUACGAUUGGAAGUGAAGAUGCAGUGACCUCGUUCGUUGUCCACUGCUAUAGGUCUUGCAAGGCUUGUUGAGGAAAAGUACAACCUCCGUAAAAAUAAUUUCAUGCCUUGUUCUCCAUCUCCUAAUUCUCCUAAAAAGGGUACUUCGAGUACAGGGUUGUUGGGAACUCAACCUAAUGCCACACCACCAUCAACUUUUAAAUGUUUGACUCCAAGUGAGGCAAAGGAUUGGCGAGAACGUGGAUUAUGUUACUAUUGUGAUGACAAGUUUGCUCCUGGACAUAAGUGUCGUACUCCUCGCUUAUUUAUGAUUGAAGCAUCUCAUGAAGAUGAUGAGGUUUUAGAUGAAGAAAGUCAAAAGGCACUUGAAAACGUUGCUAGUGAUUCAACAUUGAGGACAAGGUUCAUUCCAAGGGGAGUAGAAUGAUGUGAGCUUAAUUUAUUUAUGCAUGUUGUUUACGUAAGAAUUAGUUAGGCGUUCUAUUAGUGUUGAGUUUUAUUAGUUGAGUCAGUGAGUCAUGUUAGUGAGUUGUAAUGGAAGUUAAUUUAUAUUUUAAUUACUAUCUUCUAGCAGUUUCAUUCAGUUAUUGUAAGUUACAUUGUCAUGUAACCUGUGUUGUAUUUAAACUGAAAAAGUGAAUGAAUAGAGGAGGUUAUUCACUUGCUUAAUGCUUCUUUUUUAGAGAGAACGGUUCUCUCGAACAACCGUAUUUUUCCUUCCUUUAUUGCUUAUAAUAUAAUUUAGAACAUAACACAAGUCUUAUAAGUAAAGAAGUAAACAAACUACUAACUUAUUACAUUUAAUUACAUAUAAGAUUACAAUAAUUACCAGUUAAAAGAAGUAAAAUUGGAUGAUCUUAACCAAUGACAAUUUUCUUUGAUGGAGUAUUGGAAUAGCAAAAGAGAUCACCUUUCAAAUCAGAGAAAAGACAGUUAAAGAGGAGAAACUAAAUUUAAACAGAAAAUUGUGGAUUCUUUUCAUAUUGCUAUCAAAGAAUUUACACGGUCGAGUGAGGUUGUAUGCAUCCACCUGUAAUAUAAUUCCUGAAAGAACCUUUGAUUGGACCACACCAAUAUCUCGCUCACUCGCUAUACGUAAACCAUGAAAUCCCCCGUUACCAAGUAUAUCCAGGUUUCUAAUCAAUCCUCUCUAACCAGAAGAUGAAAGUAUUUCACAGUUCCUUUUUUUUCCCUUAAAAAAAAAUAUUUUCUUCAGAAAUUUGCUAAUGGCUUUGAAAAGAAAUAAAGAAUUAUCAAAGAGCAAAGGGUGAAAAAUGAAAAUAAUUUAUUUAAAAAUAAAAGCAUCUAGGAAUCAUCUCCCAUCACUAUUCAUAAAAUAAAUAAUUUAUUUUUAUCUCAUUGCAUGCACGAAUAAGCAAAAUCCAGACCAGCAGCACGGCUGUUUAUAAUUAUAAUUAUACUUUAGGAUUAAUUUUUUAUUAAAUUUAGGAGUAUUUUUAUAAUUAUAAUUUUUUUAUUUUUAAAGCUUUAUAAAAUAAGAAUGGUUUUUUUAAUUUAUUUAGGAAUAAAAUUAUCAUUUUAUUUAAAUUAUGUAAUUGUAUUAGUACAAAAGUGACUAGUUGAUACAAAUUUAAAAAGAAAGGUGGUGCAAAAAAUAUGUUAAAAUUUUAUGGUGGUUAAAUAAACAUAAGACAAAAGAGAGGUGGUUCAAUGAUAAUUUUCCUUCAAUAAAAUAUAAAAAAAUUGUUCGAAGGUCUACCUUUUCAGUUUUAUAACAAACAAAAGAUAUUACCAUCCACUUCUUUUCUAGGAUUGAAACCAUUUUCAUUGAUUAAAUUUAGCAGUUGGGCUAGUGUCUUUGAGCUAAUGCUUUUGAUAAGACCAUCCCAUGAGCAUCCCCAUCGAUUCUGAAGGUUUAGUCGUAGUUUUGCUGCAGACUGUGCAUUCUGAAUAUGCACUGCCAUGCGGUCACACAUUGUGAAUGUGUUAGUACUGUGUGUUACCAAUUCAGCCCCUUGCUUAGGGUUUUUGCCACUUGCUACACACGCAGAGCAAUUUAAUUCAGGGAGCAGCAGCCAGCAUAUCAUUCUUACAACACAAUCUUUUCUUGCCAUGCUGCUGUAUCAGAAGUUUCAAUGUGGACCUAACUAGCCAAUGCCAACUUUGAUAGGUCAAAAGGCACAUUCAAAUGUACAAGUUUUAACAAAAGAGGCAGAAAAAUGAAGGAGACACAUAGUGUAAUAACAAAAAUGUGACAGUUCACAACCUCUACAUUAAGAAACAGAACAACUUAUUUUCCCACAUGCUCCUCCCCUUUCAUUGGACCGUUUCUGCAGGAGUAGGGGUAUACCAGCCAUGGUGAAUCUCCACAGCCUUCUUUCUCCUAGCAAGCCGGGACUUUCUGCGAGCACCAGUGUUCCUGUGCAACGUUCCCACUUUCACUGCUUUGUCGAUAACUGAAUACGCCUCUGCAAUCAGCUUCUCAACUGGAAGAACUUCCUCAGGUUGUGCAUCAGGUUUCUUCCUGAGCCCAUCCAGUGCUUCCAAAACCUGGAAUCAGAGAGCAAAAACUUUAUGACACAAUCACACUUAACAAAAUAAUCUCCAUUGCAUAUUUUCAAAAACGUUUUGCAUAUAUUUGCAUAAGCAAAAACCUAACUUUGUGACGUUGAAGAAAUUUUCAUUAAAACCCACCUCAUCCUUCACUAUCAUCACGGUUUACCAUUGUGCACACAAAUCAACAGCAGUAUUAUAAGCACACAAACAGCCAUAAAGAGAGACGGGGAGAGGAGAACCCCUCUCUUUAACGUAUAAAUUAAGAAUUCUCUUCAUCCACAGCCAUCCACUUCCUAACCUUGAUAUGACUCAUCAAAUACCAUUAUUCCAAUUCUAAGUUCUAUGCAUGAUACAGUUUUACAGAUGAACUUUAAAACGCACUUUACUGUUAUUACCAUAUGACUUCCCUCAAAUGAUUCGGUCAAUGGUAAAACUAAAAUCUAGAAUUGAUGCUGCCCUAGUUCUCGCACAAGGAACACUUUUUCCAGGACAAAAAGCCAAGAACUCCAUGAGCAUCCGCAUGAUGCACAAAGUACAAGAUUUUUUCAAAAUUAGAACUCAAGCAUCUUACACUAACUGUGAUAAGUUAAAACAAAAAAUGGCGAACCCUUUCAAAAUCCCUACCAUAACUAUAAAUGGCAACAGAACACCCUCAAAAGCCAAUUCAAGAUUUUGACUUUAGAAACUUUCAUUUAAUGAAGCGUUUCGAGUAUUAUCGCAGCCAGAAUAGGUACCAUCGACAUGUGGAGAUGGGUCCUUUUAGAUGAGGAUGCAGCAUAGGAAACAUGCUCUCUCCUUGAAAAAUACACCAGGCAACAUGGCUAUCUGUGUGCAGGAAAGGACUACACAAGCCUCACAUAUAUAUUUGUCUUUUCAAUUUGCGUGCUGUUGAGAAGAAAUGCAGUUACAAUAAUGCGCAAGAAUUCUUGAUUUCUUUCCAUUUCUUAAGUACAUCGAAAAAGAAAAUGAGCAGCAUCACUUAAAGCUCAUGUCUUAUACUAGCAUUGUCUCACAUUCCAAUUGUUAACAAAUGCUUCACAUUGUAGAAGCAUGUAGAACACUUAGGAAAACUUUGAAGAAACACUAUCAUCUUUGCCAGUCUCCCUCCCUAAUUCUCAACAGAAAAUACUACUCCCUCCCUAAAAGAGUUUAAUUCUUACUGAAUAGUACCAAAUACCAUAUGAAUUUUAAUCAAAUGCAAAAUGAUGAUGCACAAGAGAUAGUGUGAACUUUACUGGCAGCAAAAAGACCUAUUUAUUUCAGAAGCACAGCUUCAUCCGUUUCUAACAAAACAUUUCUAUGUAAAAGAAACCAUAUUAUCUAAUAACAAGGAGUGGGUAAAUCUAAGCAAAAUACAUAAGUUUUAAAACUAAGUUUGCAAAUUCAUCAUAUACCUUCUUCAUGCGGGUUUUGACUUCAGAUUUCCUAGAUUUGUUAUAGAUGCGCCUUUUCUCAGCUUGACGAGCUCUCUUUGCAGCUGAAUCAGCUUUCUUCUUAGUAGCUGCCUCGCAAACAACUGAAUGACGCAUUGGCCUCUGGAUUGGGCUCAUUGUGAGGGAGCCUAGAUUCACAAAGCACCCAGAAUUCACUCAAAAGCAUCCCAACGAUUUAAAUAAUAAAGACAAGUAAAGAAACACCAAAUAAAGCGUUUCGUUAAAAUAAAGUCUGCAUUUUUGGACUAAAAAACUCAAUUUUGAAUAACUACACAAACUGUUUGGUUUAACUGGAGGUGGGGUUUUUUUUUUCCCCCCUUUUUCCCUUUCCCAAUUCUUUAAAACUCACAAAAUGAACCAUCAAUUACCAGCUUUUCACCAUUUUCUUCAUAUUUUUCAACUCAACCAUACAGGAAAAAGAAAAGAAGAAGAAGAAUUUGUCAAAAAAAAAAAAUGAUACAAGAGAGAGUGAGAGAGAUGGGUGAGUUAGAAGUUACAUUACAUUACCUGUGGAGAAGACAUUGUGGGAGAGGUUAUUGGAGAAACAGAGAGAUUUGAAAGUGGCGAAGCUGGAGUGAGAAGAAGAGUUGUUGUUUAGUGAGAGGGUCUUGAAUUUUGACUGAAUCGUUAAACAAGACGAUGAUGAUAAGCAGUGAAGUGCCAUCUCUCUCUUUGUUUUUGUUUAUCCACUCAGCCACAGUGGGGGGUCGGACGGGUGAUGAAGAUAUAGGGCAGUUCCUCUUUAGUCCAUCUGUUGUGUAAUAAAAAAAUCAAAUUAAUAAUCUCUGUCUCAUCCAUAUAGAACGACAUGUCGUUCUUGCUUGUCCUGACGACGUCGUUUCUGGCCGGCCAUACGCAGAUUCUACAAUUUAAUGUGCAAAAUUGUGGCAAAAUCUAAUAGAGGUCGUUGGGCCUAAAAAAUUUGAGGAAAUCAAUCAACCGCCCACACAGAAGGCCAUGGAUUACCACUAGCCAACAAGGCCCAGUAAGUAUUUGAAACACAAAAACAAGGUCCGAUGAAUAAUAAUAGCAAUAAUGAUAAUAAUAACCUCGUAAAUGAAGCAUUUUUCUUUAAAUUUCGAGUUAUUUUUCUUAAAAAUAACUUUUGAGUUAAAUUCAUGCAAAUUGCAAGGAGGAAAAUCGCGGCUUCCCUUUUAUUCUGUUUUAUUUUUCUUUGGUUUCGUGCUGUAUUGUGGUGUGAUUCUUCUUUGCAGCAGUAGCAAAGCUUUCAUGGUUUCACAUCCCCCAAGUCCCAUGAAGCAGUGCUCUACAAUCUGUGUCUACCCCGUGAAAGUUGUGAAGUUCCUUAAUGGCCCAACCACAUUCUUGCAAUUUAAAUGUAAGCAAGAGAGGUUAGUCCAGACUCCGGACAUGUAACUGUGAGGCUGAUUGCAUAAAAAGUUCAAAAGUUUUAUGUCAAGUAAGCGUUUAGGCACAGAAAUUUUACAAGGCCUUGGAAGUUUUUUCAGUCAACCCAAAAACGAAAAUGCCAGAGUCCUUGCCUCAAAAAUGGCCUUGUGCCCUAGUCCUGUAUCUUAAAGAGAACUAGAACCUCUGCUCCGUCAUCACUACAGGCUGUGCGUCAACACUCUUUCUUGCUAGAUAUGGACCCCUUCUAACAGCUUCAUCAAGCUGCAUACACAAGGGGGCAAAAAAAAAAAGUAUAAAAGAAACAUCAAACAAGAUGAAGAGCCAUUGAAAAAUUGGACCAGAAAAGAGUCAUAUAAGAGCCAACGGGAGAAGUUGCGGGUAGAUCGAGCUUUGUCAGCCGAUGCAGCAUGCAACUGGAAAUGCAAAUCACAUUUCUUGCAUAACCGGUGUCUGCCUAUAUCACCAGCUAUGACAUGAUUGCCCUCCCAAACAAGGAGAUACCAGUAGAAGAAACUAGGAAAGAAAACAGCACAAUAUAUCAAAGAUAGAUCUAACCUUUUCACCUACGCCAGCAAAAGCGGGGUCACUGACAAGUUCACUCGAGACAAAAGCCUUACGAAUUGCCUUGCAACAAUUGUAUCUAGCUUCCAUACCUAAAAUUUUCCAUUAAAUACUUGAGAGAGAGACUUGAUUUCAAACCUCAAAAGAAAGGAGCAAAUGCUCAAACACUCACUUCCGUGAAAAUUCAAAAUUGUAAUGAUCGCAGCAACUAGAAAGACAACACUUUGUAAUCACGCAAUAUGCUGAUUAUUACGAUUAGGAGGUGAAUAGGGAAUUGAAAAUAGACCUAUUUUUGUUGUUUCAGUACUUGCAUCAGUCACUGUGUUUAUUAUCUCUUGUUUUGAGCAAAGCUCCAUCAGGCACCAUGGCCGAGCCACCAACCCAGUUACCAUUCUGUAUCCCUGAAAAUACACACACAAUAAUGCCACAUCAAAUUUCUCUGAUUAAAGGUCUUCAACAGCUGUGAGCAUAAAAAAAAAAUGGAUAUAACAGUUUCAAACGAAUCACAAGCUCCUCCAAUUUUAUAUGCCGAGCAUCUUCUAUUCCGCCCUUUUGCAGGCGCAAAAACUUAUCAAGUGUUCACGUACUUUUUAGUUUCAUAAUAGUAAGAGGUAAGCUACAAGUUCCAACUCACAGUGAAAGAAUACAACAGUAGUCCUGGUCAACAAGGAAGGCUUCAACUUAUGAGAGGAAAAACACUAUAGUGCCUGACCUAAUUAGUCAAAAAGUUAAAAGGUUUUGCAUGACUAUCUUAUAAUAAACAACCAACUGAACCACAGUAAAGUAAUCUUAUAAGUAAACACCAAUUCCCAAAGAAUCAAAAAGCAACUGCUCACUAGACUGGUGAUUAUGAUUUAGUGGCGUCUUGUCCAGACCUUGACUUGGCCAGAAGCAUUUAUCAAAGAUAUUUAUAUGAUGGUCAAUUACAUAAGAACUGGGUGGGCCUUAUCUCCAUUUGAUACGUGUAAAUUCAAAUGAGUAAAAGCAGAAAAUAAUUUACAGGGACGCAAACAAAAACUAAACACAUACAAAUAAAAGAAGCUUGAGAACAUUUCAGAGGUAAUUUAAUUCGAUUCAAGUCUUUUAGUUUUACUCUCCUUGGUGUGUAAAUAGAACACCCAUGGAAGUCCAUGAAAUUUUUAUGAAAAUCUACAGCAUGUUUUUGCUUACUUAAAUCUUUUCCUAAUUACUCAAUUUUUAAGCAGCAUAACAAAUAAGUACCCAUUUCCAUUAUCCUUUAUCAAAAGGAACCUCCUGAUGCAAGAGUUGGAUUACACUGUAGUACAUGGAAGUAUAUUAGAGAGUACCCAUAUAGAGAUAACUAAGCAGAGACAAAAACAAGUAACCAUAUUUAAAACAAAAGAAAGAUGAUUAUAACAACAACUGAAAAUAAAUAAACUUUAAAAAGGCUUUUAUGGGUCCACCUGGACUAUUUAUUUAGACAAUUAUACACCAUCAGGAAAAAUUUUAAUAUGUAAAUAGUGGAUUUAAAAUUCUCACCGCCAAUCGGAUUUCUGCAGCCUGUUGAAGAACUGAUAGAAAGAGACCCUGCCAAUUAUACCAGAAAAGCUUAGUGAAACUUUCUUAGAAUGCAUAGAAGUAACAAUAAACUCAUAUGAACAAAUGUAUACAAGCAAAAGAACUUGGACUUAUUAAUUGAGAUGAUUCAUAAAAGUUAUUGUAAAAUUAACGCAAAUGAUAUAGUUACAACGACUCACAGCAGAUACGUAACUUAAUAUCCGGUGCUUCAACACCAUAUAUUCAUUCAAUUUGAAUUAUUACUACAAACAGUGCCCUUCCAAUUAAAGAACAAUCUGAUUUACCAAAUUAGUGCAACUAGAGAAAGAGCCAUUGAACUUACUGAUGGUGUUAGUUUCGAACUCCUGGACGCCACUUCAUAAAUCAAAUGUCGAAGACUUUCUUCGGCAUCGGCAUUCAAAAUUAUUUUGUCUUCAGAUCGAGUUUCUCCUGCGAUGUUUGCUAGACCAUGCAAAGCAGCCUGUUUGUCAUUACAAAUUGUCAUACAAAUAUUAAAGAAAGAAGGCACAGCACCAAGAAGUUUACUGAGAUAAUGUAGAUAAGAUUACUUUAAGCACAAUUCUUACAGCCAGUUAAGUCCUAAUGCUGUGAAUUUGAAACAACAAAUUUCCUUUAUGCAAAAGGUCAAUUAAAGAAAAGCAGAGCAGCA
Molecule: long non-coding RNA, 20317 nt
Filed under: Citrus maxima (pomelo)
Lineage: Eukaryota; Viridiplantae; Streptophyta; Magnoliopsida; Sapindales; Rutaceae
Description: long non-coding RNA (CMAX_LNC001827)
Source: RNAcentral